Molecule: long non-coding RNA, 1842 nt
Organism: Sarcophilus harrisii (Tasmanian devil)
Lineage: Eukaryota; Metazoa; Chordata; Mammalia; Dasyuromorphia; Dasyuridae
Exons: 2
Source: RefSeq, a predicted model, not a curated record
CCAAUAUAGGUUAAACCCGUGCAAUUCUUCUAAACUCAUUUUCACAUUUAACACGCUCGAUCUUCUGCGGUUCUUUUUAAAAAUCCAAAAAAUUAACAACUUCAAGAUUACCGAUGCCCCCCGGGCCGCCCUUAACUUCCCUCCCCACCCUCCCCCUGUCGGGGACACCCAGCCUGGCUGCCAAGCUUCUGGUUACCGGGCAACAGCUGCCCAAUGGUCAUUUCAAACCAGACAUUCUAUGCACAUCUUCCUCUCAACUCUCCUCUCUGCUAAGCUUCCCUGUUUCUGUCCGGGCAGCGCCGCCCUCCCUCCCAGCUGCCCACAGCUCUCUCUCCCUCCAACCCAGUUUCCAAAUCCCGUCAUUUACGCCUCUCCCUCUACCGUCGCCUCUGACCCUUAGCACCUCUCCUCAGGACUACAACUGCCUCUCAAUCCGAUCUGCUUUAACCAACAGGCCUCCGUUAGUGCCCACCACAUGCCAGGGACCGUGAACCCCGAGCUCCCGGGAGGCUGGCACUCCUCGGAGGCAGGAAGCGGGCCAGACUUCAGAGAACCCGGCCCCAACAGACACAAGGAAUCUGCCCAGGGAAGACACUAGUAACUGGGGAAACCGGGAAGGCUGCUAAAGGACAACAGGAGCCGUCUUCCCCCUUCCACACAGAGAAUGCCAUUGUCAAACACAGGUCAGAGCACCUCCCUCCUACGUGGCGAACCCCAAGAUCACCCCAAAUCAGCACCUCCUGCUUGGCAUCUCAAGCCCUGCACCCAAGUGACUGACCUCUGAAAAUGGGCAGGGGGGUGCUGCCCACAUCUCAGCAAUGGCCGUCUUGUUCUUCCAAGGCAAGUCAAAAUGGAUACGAUUAUCCUGAAUCCAUCUUUUUUGUUUAGCCCCCUUGAUAAAUAAUCCUAACAAAAAAGGGGGCAACUAAAUGAACCCACUAAAAAUAACUUUCCCCCACUAACCACCGAGAUAAAACUCGGUAACAUUGUAUUACAUGAUAGCCUAAGAACAACAUUCAGAAUUUUGCUUUUAAGAAGUUAAAUUCAAUGCUCUAGAAAUAUAUGGACAUAUUGAAUCUGAAUCAGCAAUUUUCUUCAAAGAAAAUAAUAUAGAUAAGUCAACAAUAAGGAGAUAUAAAGGAUUUAGCUCCUUGGAGCAGAAAGCAACCGGGAGCUCCCUGAAAAUGAACCAAAAAUACUCACACAAAAUUCUGGGAUAGGCAACUAUCAGUAAGGACACUGGGAAUUCUCUCCUUGCCGGUCUCUGCCCAGAUGAUCAUGAGCGCUCCUUGAUUUUUAGGUGCAAAGUACUUUAGACCAAAGUGUUACAUCACAAUAUUGUUUAUUAUGUGACUUUUUACAAUACAAACAAAAAUACAGAAAUGCAAUAUAUGAAUACAGCUAAAUGCAGAACGGUGACUUUUUUUCUCUUCAAGAGGCCAUGAUUCCCAUUUCUAGUAAAAUAAAGAGACUGCACACAGGUAGAAACAAGUUGGUAGUUAACUCCACAUUUUUAUCUAGAAAUGACCUAUUAAUGCAUUUUUCCUGCUACUUACCAUAAAGUGUAAAAAGGGAGUUAAAGGAAAGUUUUACUCGCUGGUUCCUACCAUAUGAAAGACGCUAUAUUCUAUUUAGCAGGGCCAAUAUACGGAAAAUAUCUAAAUUUAAAUGUUAUUACAAAAAUGAAGCAGUAAUGAGAGUCUUCUGGCUAAAGAAGUCACUAAAUUGAGAAGAGCAUAUAUUUAAAGAAUUCCAAACAAGAAAGGGCUGUUAUAAAAAGCUUUUAGGUGCAGUGGAAGCUUAUAGGGUUUUUUUUUCCAUGUGUAUUUUUAAACAAUGGAA